CGGCACAAUUAAGAUCUCUACGCUCACUAUCCUUCAAAGGGCCCAAGUCAGAGAAGGAAGUGGCCUUCUUUUGCCGUAGAAUAUCUGGUCUGGUGUUCUCAGAAACAUCUGAUUUUGACUCACUCAAUUCCACCUGUGGCAAAUCUUUUUUCUUCUGCAAUUCAGUUUUGAACUUCGAAACGUCCUCUUUUGCCAAACGAAGCUCAUAUUCACUAAGUGCUAAUUUUUCUUCUAUUGCUUCUUUCUCUUC
RNAcentral lists this unclassified non-coding RNA (250 nucleotides) under Hevea brasiliensis (rubber tree). The record is from RNAcentral. Lineage: Eukaryota; Viridiplantae; Streptophyta; Magnoliopsida; Malpighiales; Euphorbiaceae.